RNAcentral lists this ribosomal RNA (430 nucleotides) under uncultured bacterium. RNAcentral describes it as "bacterial SSU rRNA". It matches the Rfam family "Bacterial small subunit ribosomal RNA", at positions 355 to 776 of the family's 1533-position model. The record is from RNAcentral.
UGGGGAAUUUUGCGCAAUGGGGGAAACCCUGACGCAGCAACGCCGCGUGAGUGAUGAAGGCCUUCGGGUCGUAAAGCUCUGUCAGAGGGAAAGAAAUGCAGAUGCGCUAAUAUCGCGACUGCUUGACGGUACCCUCAAAGGAAGCACCGGCUAACUCCGUGCCAGCAGCCGCGGUAAUACGGAGGGUGCGAGCGUUGUUCGGAAUUAUUGGGCGUAAAGCGCGUGUAGGCGGUUUGUUAAGUCUGAUGUGAAAGCCCUGGGCUCAACCUGGGAAGUGCAUUGGAAACUGGCAGACUUGAAUACGGGAGAGGGUAGUGGAAUUCCUAGUGUAGGAGUGAAAUCCGUAGAUAUUAGGAGGAACACCGGUGGCGAAGGCGGCUACCUGGACCGAUAUUGACGCUGAGACGCGAAAGCGUGGGGAGCAAACAGG